This 45-nucleotide non-coding RNA is filed under the name Schistosoma mansoni. The record is from RNAcentral. Lineage: Eukaryota; Metazoa; Platyhelminthes; Trematoda; Strigeidida; Schistosomatidae.
AUCCAGUUGACGAGUCCCAAAUAGGACGAUACGCGCGUCCUGGAU